CAUUAUUGAAAUAAACCUGAUGGGUUGUUGCUGGUUCUCUAGGGAGCAUGUGCACACCUUGUCAUCUUUAUAUCUCCACCUGUGCACUUUUUGUAGACCUUUCGGGUCUAUGUUGCUUCAUUUACCCCAAUGUAUGUUAAUAGAAUGUUGUGCCUAUAUAAUAUAUACAACUUUCAGCAACGGAUCUCUUGGCUCUCGCAUCGAUGAAGAACGCAGCGAAAUGCGAUAAGUAAUGUGAAUUGCAGAAUUCAGUGAAUCAUCGAAUCUUUGAACGCACCUUGCGCUCCUUGGUAUUCCGAGGAGCAUGCCUGUUUGAGUGUCAUUAAUAUAUCAACCUUCUCUUUUUUGAGUUGUUUGGAUGUGGGGGUUUGCUGGCCUCUUAAAUGAUUCAGCUCCCCUGAAAUGCAUUAGCAGAACAACCUGGAAUUCAUUGGCGUGAUAAUUAUCUAUGCUAUUGAAUGUGAGGGGCAGUUCAGCUUUCUAACCGUCCUCGGACAAUUCAUCAUUAAUGUGACCUCAAAUCAGGUAGGACUACCCGCUGAACUUAA
RNAcentral lists this ribosomal RNA (548 nucleotides) under uncultured fungus. Its description in RNAcentral is "eukaryotic LSU rRNA". The stretch from base 169 to 322 matches the Rfam family "5.8S ribosomal RNA". The record is from RNAcentral. Lineage: Eukaryota; Fungi.